AACCUGGUUGAUCCUGCCAGUAGUCAUAUGCUUGUCUCAAAGAUUAAGCCAUGCAUGUCUAAGUAUAAGCACCUUAUACUGUGAAACUGCGAAUGGCUCAUUAAAUCAGUUAUCGUUUAUUUGAUGAUCUCUUGCUACUUGGAUACCCGUGGUAAUUCUAGAGCUAAUACAUGCGACAACACCCGACUUCUGGAAGGGUGGUAUUUAUUAGAUAAAAAACCUUCUCGCUUCGGCGAUGUCCCGGUGAUUCAUAAUAACUUUUCGAAGUGCAUGGCCUUGCGCCGGCGCUGGUUCAUUCAAAUUUCUGCCCUAUCAACUUUCGAUGGUAAGAUAGAGGCCUACCAUGGUGGUAACGGGUAACGGGGAAUUAGGGUUCGAUUCCGGAGAGGGAGCCU
This 395-nucleotide ribosomal RNA is filed under the name uncultured marine eukaryote. RNAcentral describes it as "SSU rRNA". It matches the Rfam family "Eukaryotic small subunit ribosomal RNA", at positions 1 to 397 of the family's 1831-position model. The record is from RNAcentral.